This 752-nucleotide ribosomal RNA is filed under the name uncultured bacterium. RNAcentral's name for it is "bacterial SSU rRNA". It matches the Rfam family "Bacterial small subunit ribosomal RNA", at positions 61 to 806 of the family's 1533-position model. The record is from RNAcentral.
GUCGAGGGGUAACAGUAUGUAGCAAUACAUAGCUGACGACCGGCGCACGGGUGUGUAACGCGUAUGCAACCUGUCCGUUACAGGGGGAUAGCCCAUGGAAACGUGGAUUAACACUCCAUAAUAUAAUAUAGAGGCAUCUUUGUAUUAUUAAAUAUUCAUAGGUAACGGUUGGGCAUGCGUCCUAUUAGAUAGUUGGGGGGGUAACGGCCCACCAAGUCGAUGAUAGGUAGGGGUUCUGAGAGGAAGGUCCCCCACACUGGUACUGAGACACGGACCAGACUCCUACGGGAGGCAGCAGUGAGGAAUAUUGGUCAAUGGGCGGGAGCCUGAACCAGCCAAGUCGCGUGAGGGAUGACUGCCCUAUGGGUUGUAAACCUCUUUUGUAUGGGGGGAAUAAGCUUUACGAGUAGAGUGAUGACAGUACCAUACGAAUAAGCAUCGGCUAACUCCGUGCCAGCAGCCGCGGUAAUACGGAGGAUGCGAGCGUUAUCCGGAUUUAUUGGGUUUAAAGGGUGCGUAGGCGGCAUUAUAAGUUAGUGGUAAAAUAUUGGGGCUUCACCUCACUACGCCAUUAAUACUGUAGAGCUAGAGAACAGACGAGGUAGGCGGAAUAAGUUUAAGUAGCGGUGAAAUGCAUAGAUAUAACUUAGAACACCGAUAGCGAAGGCAGCUUACCAGACUGAGUCUGACGCUGAUGCACGAGAGCAUGGGUAGCGAACAGGAUUAGAUACCCUGGUAGUCCAUGCCGUAAA